This 235-nucleotide ribosomal RNA is filed under the name uncultured bacterium. RNAcentral's name for it is "partial 16S ribosomal RNA". It matches the Rfam family "Bacterial small subunit ribosomal RNA", at positions 96 to 334 of the family's 1533-position model. The record is from RNAcentral.
UGGCGGACGGGCGAGUAAUGUCUGGGAAACUGCCCGAUGGAGGGGGAUAACUACUGGAAACGGUAGCUAAUACCGCAUAACGUCGCAAGACCAAAGAGGGGGACCUUCGGGCCUCUUGCCAUCGGAUGUGCCCAGAUGGGAUUAGCUAGUAGGUAAGGUAACGGCUUACCUAGGCGACGAUCCCUGGCUGGUCUGAGAGGAUGAUCAGCCACACUGGGACUGAGACACGGCCCAG